This 117-nucleotide non-coding RNA is filed under the name Homo sapiens (human). The record is from Rfam by way of RNAcentral. Lineage: Eukaryota; Metazoa; Chordata; Mammalia; Primates; Hominidae.
GCCGGGCACGAUGGCUCAUGCCUGUAAUCCCAGCACUUUGGGAGGCUGAGGCGGGUGAAUCACCUGAGGUCAGGAGUUUGAGACCAGCCUGGCCAACAUGGUGAAACCCCGUCUCUA